AUGGUUAAACCACACACUGUUUCCUCCCUAUCACCAGUACUGUUUAUUUCCAGCAGCCUGCCCUUCUGUAGUGUUUGCUUACUAAUGAUGCCUUGUGCUGACAUGCAUCUAUUCACUAAUUCUGGGGAUCAUUUUGCAGCAGGCAGUUCUUCAAACGUUUAUCAGUCAGUUGAGACCCUGAGCCCAUCAUCAGAUGUGAAGAGGUGGAGUCCCUCCAAGUCUUACUCUACAGUCUCUUAUGCUGUGGUAGACCUUCCACAGAAAUCCUAGUCCUGAGUCCAGUUAAAUGUCUUCC
Molecule: long non-coding RNA, 295 nt
Organism: Clupea harengus (Atlantic herring)
Lineage: Eukaryota; Metazoa; Chordata; Actinopteri; Clupeiformes; Clupeidae
Exons: 3
Source: RefSeq, a predicted model, not a curated record